RNAcentral lists this ribosomal RNA (253 nucleotides) under uncultured bacterium. Its description in RNAcentral is "partial 16S ribosomal RNA". It matches the Rfam family "Bacterial small subunit ribosomal RNA", at positions 524 to 776 of the family's 1533-position model. The record is from RNAcentral.
UACAGAGGUCUCAAGCGUUGUUCGGAUUCAUUGGGCGUAAAGGGUGCGUAGGCGGCGCGGUAAGUCGGGGGUGAAAUCUCGGAGCUUAACUCCGAAACUGCAUUCGAUACUGCCGUGCUUGAGUACUGGAGAGGAGACUGGAAUUUACGGUGUAGCGGUGAAAUGCGUAGAUAUCAGGAGGAACACCGGUGGCGAAGGCGGGUCACUGGGCCGAUACUGACGCUGAGGAGCGAAAGCGUGGGGAGCGAACAGG